Molecule: ribosomal RNA, 253 nt
Filed under: uncultured bacterium
Lineage: Bacteria
Description: partial 16S ribosomal RNA
Rfam family: Bacterial small subunit ribosomal RNA
Source: RNAcentral
UACGUAGGGGGCAAGCGUUAUCCGGAAUUACUGGGUGUAAAGGGAGAGUAGGCGGCAAGGUAAGCGAUAUGUGAAAGCCUUAGGCUUAACCAGAGGAUUGCAUAACGAACUAUCUAGCUAGAGUACAGGAGAGGGAAGCGGAAUUCCUAGUGUAGCGGUGAAAUGCGUAGAUAUUAGGAAGAACACCAGUGGCGAAGGCGGCUUUCUGGACUGAAACUGACGCUGAGGCUCGAAAGCGUGGGGAGCGAACAGG